AAGGGGGCUAGCGUUGCUCGGAAUCACUGGGCGUAAAGCGCACGUAGGCGGCUUUUUAAGUCAGGGGUGAAAUCCUGGAGCUCAACUCCAGAACUGCCUUUGAUACUGAGGAGCUCGAGUCCGGGAGAGGUGAGUGGAACUGCGAGUGUAGAGGUGAAAUUCGUAGAUAUUCGCAAGAACACCAGUGGCGAAGGCGGCUCACUGGCCCGGUACUGACGCUGAGGUGCGAAAGCGUGGGGAGCAAACAGG
This 249-nucleotide ribosomal RNA is filed under the name uncultured bacterium. RNAcentral describes it as "partial 16S ribosomal RNA". It matches the Rfam family "Bacterial small subunit ribosomal RNA", at positions 528 to 776 of the family's 1533-position model. The record is from RNAcentral.